This 550-nucleotide ribosomal RNA is filed under the name uncultured beta proteobacterium. RNAcentral's name for it is "partial 16S ribosomal RNA". It matches the Rfam family "Bacterial small subunit ribosomal RNA", at positions 365 to 909 of the family's 1533-position model. Lineage: Bacteria; Pseudomonadati; Pseudomonadota; Betaproteobacteria. The record is from RNAcentral.
UGGACAAUGGGGGAAACCCUGAUCCAGCAAUGCCGCGUGAGUGAAGAAGGCCUUCGGGUUGUAAAGCUCUUUUGUCAGGGAMGAAACASCGGSUCUAACACAGUCCGGSAAUGACGGUACCUGAASAAUAAGCACCGGCUAACUACGUGCCAGYAGCCGCGGUAAUACGUASGGUGCGAGCGUUAAUCGGAAUUACUGGGCGUAAAGCGWGCGCAGGCGGUUAUACWAGACMGGCGUGAARUCCCCGGGCUUAACCUGGGAAUGGCSCCUGURACUGUAUAGCUAGAGUGUGUCAGAGGGGGGUAGAAUUCCACGUGUARCARUGAAAUGCGUAGAUAUGUGGAGGAAUACCAAUGGCKAASGCWGMCCCCUGGGAUAACACUGACGCUCAUGCACGAAAGCSUGGGGAGCAAACAGGAUUAGAUACCCUGGKAGUCCACGCCCUAAACGAUGCUGACUAGUUGUUCGGGAUUUACAUCCUGAGUAACGUAUCUAACGCSUGAAGUCAGCCGCCUGGGGAGUACGGUCCSAAGAUUAAAACUCAAAGGAA